AUGUCCGGCCAUAUAUAGCAAUGAAAGUUUUCGCAUCCCAUCCGCUCUGCGGUAAAAACAACCAUUGAAUCGCCUAGCUAGUACUAGGGUGUGCGACCAAGUGAGAAUCCCGGGCGCUGAAACUC
This 125-nucleotide ribosomal RNA is filed under the name Tuber melanosporum Mel28. The record is from RNAcentral. Lineage: Eukaryota; Fungi; Ascomycota; Pezizomycetes; Pezizales; Tuberaceae.